GGCCCCUCACCCUGCACUCUAUAACCUGACCCCCUACUGCGUAGCAAGCGAAGGUACUACGUGUCUCGGGUACCGCUGUCAAUUGGGAAGAACCUACUUAUGGUUAAUACCCAUGAGUACUGACGGUACCACUGAAGGAAGCACCGGCUAACUCCGUGCCAGCAGCCGCGGUAAUACGGGGGGUGCAAGCGUUAUUCGGAUUUACUGGGCGUAAAGCGCGCGCAGGCGGUUUUGUAAGUCGGAUGUGAAAGCCCUGGGCUCAACCCGGGAAGUGCAUUCGAUACUGCAUAACUUGAGUAUGGGAGAGGGAAGUGGAAUUCCUGGUGUAGAGGUGAAAUUCGUAGAUAUCAGGAGGAACAUCGGUGGCGAAGGCGACUUCCUGGACCAAUACUGACGCUGAGGCGCGAAGGCGUGGGGAGCAAACAGGAUUAGAUACCCUGGUAGUCCACGCAGUAAACGAU
Molecule: ribosomal RNA, 461 nt
Filed under: uncultured prokaryote
Description: bacterial SSU rRNA
Rfam family: Bacterial small subunit ribosomal RNA
Source: RNAcentral